Molecule: long non-coding RNA, 5453 nt
Organism: Oncorhynchus nerka (sockeye salmon)
Lineage: Eukaryota; Metazoa; Chordata; Actinopteri; Salmoniformes; Salmonidae
Exons: 2
Source: RefSeq, a predicted model, not a curated record
UGGCCUAGGAACAAUGGGUUAACUGCCUUGUUCAGGGGCAGAACUACAGAUUUUUACCUUGUCAGCUCGGGGAUUUUAUCUUGCAACCUUUCGGUGACAAGACCAACGCUCUGACCACUAGGCUACCUGCCGCCCCAAAACAUUUUCAAGAUAGGCCAGUUACACUCAGUCCAUUUUAGAACUUUGUCCAUUGUACACACAUUUGAGCAAUUGUGUUAUUGUUGUGUACCACAUUUUCUCUGUUGUACUGGUUAGUCAGAAGGCCUGAUAAGGAUUGGAUCGUUUUUUCACUGUUUGACUUUCAUUUCCCCAGAUGAAGAGCUCCCUCUUUUUGGUACUAUAUGGUCUCAGUGACCUUGUGGGCAGUCAAAGAAAAACUUCCUGACAUGAGGGACAAGAAAUAGACAAGUGUAAACGGUGAUGGGCUUACAGCUAUAGUCUUUUUGUGUUCAUAUUGGCUUGGCUAUCUCACUUGAUGAAAAGGCACAAUGUAAAAAAAAGUAUUUUGCCCAUCAGUAUUUUGUGAUUGUCUCCUGUUUCACCUUGUAAUUAUAUGCCCUCUUUCUUUGGCCAUGUAGUGGCGUAGAAUGAAACGAUCAUGUAUCAUGUUGUAACACGCUGCAUUACUGACCAUCAUAAAAAGCAUGAUACUGUAGGAUUGAAGUGUUUUCGGCUGCUCAUUUAUUGAGAAAGUAAAACUAUUUAUUCAUAUCUCUAUAAGGACCUGACGAUUCAGAAUGCUGGACCCAGGCUGUGUUGUGAAUUGUAGAGGCCUCAGCCCAGACCAGAAGCAACCCAUACCCCCUAGGCACUUGUGGAGAUCUGAGAGGAUUGGAAAGGUGUGAGCAAUAUGUAGUAAAGAACUUGAGAGUACUCAGUAUAUUAACUGGUCAAGGAUGUGUAUGUUACUUUUUAAAUGUAAUCCGUUGCUAGUUAACUGUCCAAAAUUGUCAUCAGUAACGUAACUAUUGGAUUACCCAGACUCAGUAACGUAAUCUCAUUACUUUGAUAUUAUUUUGAUUAUUUUCCCCUUAAGAGGCAUUAGAAGAAGACAAAUAGAAUCCAUCAAACGCAUUUGGUGUGUCAUCAUAGUGGACUCUAUCUUAUUGUCAGACUCGCACAGGUGGAACAAACUCAGGUGGAACAAAGCGCCUUUUUUAAGUGGUGAAUUGAAUGUCAUUGAGAAAACAGAAAGGUGUCAUAAUGUAUUUUUUUCUGCAAACAUCCUAUCUGUAAUCUGAUUACAAUAUUUCUGCUGGUAACGUAACCGAUGACAGUUUAUUUUUUACAGUGCCUUCAGAAAGUAUUCACACCCCUUGACUUUUUCACUGUCACUGACCUAUACACAAUAUCCCUUAAUGUCAAAGUGGAAUUCUGUUUUUCACAUUUUUUUCAUAUUAAUUAAACAUUUAAAUGUCUCAAGUCAAUAAGUAUUCAACCCCUUUUUAUGGCAAGUUUAAUUAAGUUCAGGACCAAAAAUGUGCUUAACAAGUCACAUAAUAAGUUGCAGGGACUCACUUUGUGUGCAAUUACAGUGUUUAACAUGAUUUUGGAAUGACUCAUCUCUGUACCCCACACAUACAAUUAUCUGUAAGGUCACUCAGUCGAGCAGUGAAUUUCAAACACAGAUUCAACCACAAAGACCAGGGAGUUUCUCCAAUGCCUCGCAAAUAAGGGCACCUAUUGGUAGAUGGGGAAAAAAAAUAAAAAGCAGACAUUGAAUAUCCCUUUGAGCAUAGUGAAGUUAUUAAUUACACUUUUGAUGAUGUAUCAAUACACCGUCACCACCAAGAUAAAGGUGUCCUUCUAACUCAGUUGCCAGAGGGGAAGGAAACUGCUCAGGGAUUUCACCAUGAGUCAUGGUGACUUUAAAAUAGUUACAUAGUUUAAUGGCUGUGAUAGGAGAAAACUGCGGCUUCACAAUACUAACCUAAUUUACAGAGUGAAAAGAAGUAAGCUUGUACAGCAUAAAACAUAUUCAAAAACAUGCAUCCUGUUUGCAACAAGGCACUAAAGUAAUACUGCAAAAAAUGUGGCAAAGCAAUUCACUUUUGUCCUGAAUAUAAGUACCACUCUCCAUAUUUCCAAGCAUAGUGGUGGAUACAUCAUGUUAUGGGUAUGCUUGUAAUCACUUAAGGACUGGGGAGUUUUUCAGGAUAAAAAAGAAACGGAAUGGAGCUAACCGCAAGCAAAAUCUUAAGGGAAAACCUGGUUCGGUCUGUUUUCCACCAGACACUGGGAGAUGAAUUCACCAUAACGUAGAAUACAAAGCCAAAUGUACACUCGAGUUGCUUACCAAGAAGACGGUGAAUGUUCCUGAGUGGCUGAGUUAAAGUUUUGACUUAAAUCUGCUUGAAAAUCUAUGGCAAGACCUGAAAAUGGUUGUCUAGCAAUGAUCAACAACCAAUUUGACAGAGCUUGAAGAAUUUUUAAAUGAAUAUUGGGUAAAUGUUGCACAAUCCAGGCAUGGAAAGCUCUUAGAUUUACCCAGAAAUAUACUUAUCUAAUCAAUUGUAAUCCCUCUUUGUAACACAACAAAUGAAUAAGUCAAGGGGUAUGAAUACUUUCUGAAGGCACUCUAACUGAUUGCAUGUAAUCAGUUACUCCCCAACCCUGUGAAUGGUGCAUUGUAAAGACCUCUGCACACUACAAAUGGGGUACAAUUUGGGAUGCAGGCUUGCAGUGUGGUUAAAGGAAGUCUCCAGACUCUCCUCUGUCCUGCUGACUCUGAUCCUGUAUGUCAGCACAGGCCUCCCUUUUUGGAGAAGCACCCCAUCUCUUCGGUAUGGCAUUACCUCCAGAGCUGCUGAAAUCUACUAGGAGCUACACUGCUACAAGGAGUGACAGGGCUAUUCAAUUCUGGUCCUGGAGGGCCAAAACAUUUCCGUUUUUUUCUUUCUACCUCGAAGCUAAUUUCACUGAAUUAGUCCCUUAUUAGAAGGAGAGGAUGAACAUCAGAAGUGUUUCAGCCCUCCAGGACCGGAAUUGAAUACAAGCCCUGCGUGUAGCUUCUAAUAAACAAAGAGUGCCGGGCUACACAAUGGAUAGUUGAUACUCCUACUGCUCGGUGGUUCUGUGGGUCUGUCUAACUGCUUUGUGGUUGGUUGAGAAAAUGGGUGUGUGCCCAUGUCAUACAGGCAUUUGGGCUGGUUAAAUAAAGUGUUGUGUCUGUCUUAUUUGUUUCCCCACAGCUGUCACACAAGAGAAUCAUCAUAGACAUUUUGUUUCAUUCAAGUCACCCUCCCUCCUUUAGGCAUCCAUUUAGUCGCUCUCUCUCUCCCUUAUCCCUCCCAUCUGUUACCAUCGCCACGCUCUUGCUCUCUCUCGCUUGCUCUCUCUUUCAUGCGCUCUCCAUCCCUCUCUCUCUGUUUCACAGUCAUUCGCAUGAUCAUACCACACUGCCAGCUGAGUUAUAACUUGAACAAUUCUUUGUUAGUUUUCAAUUGUACAAUUUAAUCUCCCCAUAUAUAAAAACCACGAAAGACUGCCGGAAAGGCUUGAACGCAAGAUUGUCAUUUUUAUAACUCACACGGUGAAGAACGUAGCCUGUAGCCUACUGCAGGAUUUCCCAGACCUUUUCAAAUUCGGCACACAGAAAUUAGAGGUCAAAAAGAAUGGCACCGAUUGGCUCAUAGAUGGUGCCAUUAUAAGAAGUUUCACUUAAAUCAUCAUGUCCGCCGCCCUACUUGACCUACAAACUUGAACAUUUGUAUGUAGGUGUCUUUCCUCCUGCUGAACAAAUUUGCCUGAAGGACCCAUAAGGUUGACAGAAUAGAUGAUUGAUAAAUAAGGACAUCUGAUUGUAUGUGUCCAUGUCAAUCCUUUUUAAAUCCACGUCUCAAUGGCCUAUCAACUUGAAACGUGUUAGGGUCAUCAGACAUUACCAUAAUGAACCAUGUUAAGUUUGGCAUUGAUAUCUUAAAAAAUAAGGACACUAUUAACAAUUCACGUUUUGACUGUAACGCUAAUGCUUAAAAGGUCCUGAACAGUGGAAAUCAUGUUUCUCAUGAAAUCGAAUGAUAUUUGAAUGAAACCAGUUCAAAGUAGGGUAACUCAAGUAUAACAAAUUUCUGUAGCUGGUACAUUGAUAAAGUUUGAUAAUAAAGUGAUGUGUUCCCUCCCCCUGUGUCAAACACUUCAGGGGGCAGGCAAUACCAAGGAUUACACUAAUGGUAGGGUCUUAUCAUAUUUACUUAUUUAAAUAUGUACCACCUUAAAACUGUCAUCCCAUGCUCCUACACCUUGCUUUAGCUUUAUUUACAAACCGUAAGAUAGCUACUAGGAGAACGUUGGACCAAAGAUAUUGGUAACCAUUCAUCUGUGGUGUGACUGAUAGCUAGCAAGCUACUUACCAGCAUGCCGGCAAAAGCACUCUGUGUUGUGGCUGGGUAUCAUGGUGUUAAUUUAACGUUACACAAUUUUCCGAAGAAUGAAGACAUCCGACAGCAGUGGCUGCUAUUUAUUUUGGUGGACAGGCUGCACCGAAAAUUACAAUCAUGUUACGCGUCUGCAGUGCACAUUCCGUGCCAAGUUGCUUUAUUGGGGAGAACAUUCGAUGGGUCUUGCUAGGAAGCUAAUCCGGAAGACGCCUUCAUUAAUAGUGCAUGUAAGUAUCAGUGUUUGAUGAGUCUGACACAGUAGCCAACAGUUUGGGGUAAUCAGGGGGGCUAAAGUUAGGUAAUGCAACUGUGGCUGCUUUGACUGUAAAAGUUCUGUAACAUCUGAUAGUCACUAUAUGGUUUUUGUUCUUCCAUCCCUAAGCCCCCUACAUUGAGUCUGAGAACUUCCAGCACACAGCUGGAACGAAGGAAUGUUAUCCACAAAAGGAGAUGUGAAACAUUACAGGCUGCGUAGACUGGCUCCUGGAUCUCCUCUUCAACAUGGUCACCCUUGAACCAGUGCCGUAUGUGGGGAAGCUGUGCAAGCUGUCCAUCCCAGUGUGAGAGGCCUGACAAGGAGCAGGCCAUAGCUAGAUUUUUCUUACCCUUCUAUCUUGGGGGUGACUGAAGCCUGCUUGAUUGAGGCAGGUCCUCAAUCUCGCUGUCCUCCCCAUGAAUUUCUGUAGUUGGUUGCAUUUCCUAAAGCCUAAAUAAUUCACUGUUACGUAAAUACAGUAUAUAACAUUUUGUUUCAUUGUAUUGUUUUUUUCAAGAGUUUGGACAGGAGAUGAAUGUUACAAAUUGUACGAAUCAAUGGGUCCUGCAUACUGCAGGGUGGCUGGGUUUCUAUAUUAGGCUUAUGGCUCUAAUUGUUUAUUUUUUUAUUGUGUCAAAUGGUGUCUCACCAUUAUUUCUCACCUUUAUUUUUCAUAAGUGUUCAUGUUGAUCAAUAUUUUGGCUAAGCUGGCCUUUAGUAAAUUAUCAAAUAAAUGUCUGCUCAAUGCAUACAACUCUGAACAUAUUGUCAUGUAUAAUGCAGAGGGAACCAAUAAAUUGUCCAGUACAGUUAUUGUA